RNAcentral lists this ribosomal RNA (504 nucleotides) under uncultured Desulfomicrobium sp. Its description in RNAcentral is "bacterial SSU rRNA". It matches the Rfam family "Bacterial small subunit ribosomal RNA", at positions 9 to 497 of the family's 1533-position model. Lineage: Bacteria; Pseudomonadati; Thermodesulfobacteriota; Desulfovibrionia; Desulfovibrionales; Desulfomicrobiaceae. The record is from RNAcentral.
GAGUUUGAUCCUGGCUCAGAAUGAACGCUGGCGGCGUGCCUAACACAUGCAAGUCGUACGAGAAAGGGGCUUCGGCCCUGAGUAGAGUGGCGCACGGGUGAGUAACGCGUGGGUAAUCUACCCUUGGAUUUGGGAUAACUUCGCGAAAGCGGAGCUAAUACCGGAUAGUCUGGCUUUAAUUAAGAAGUCGGUAAAGGAUGCCUCUGCAUAUGCUUCGUCCGAGGAUGAGCCCGCGUCUCAUUAGCUAGUUGGUAGGGUAAUGGCCUACCAAGGCAACGAUGAGUAGCAGGUCUGAGAGGAUGAUCAGCCACACUGGAACUGAAACACGGUCCAGACUCCUACGGGAGGCAGCAGUGGGGAAUAUUGCGCAAUGGGCGAAAGCCUGACGCAGCAACGCCGUGUGAGGGAUGAAGGCUUUCGGGUCGUAAACCUCUGUCGGAAGGGAAGAACGGGCAUUGGUCUAAUAGGCCUUUGUUUUGAGGUACCUUUAGAGGAAGCACCGGC